CGGAAAUUCUAAUUUUAAUUAAUUUGAAUAUUCUGAGCUAAUUAUUUGCAUUAUUAACUGCAGGGAAAUUUUGGAGAUAUAUUUUGGAGCAUUUUUUUUUGGGAGGCUGCAGCAUUUUUUUUUUUGGGAUUCUGUUGGAAAACCAGAGCGUCAUGAUUGCUUGGUGCUUUGGAGUUGUUUGAAAGACUUGGAACGGUGCCACCCACUAGGAAGCUGCACGGUUUUAUAUCUCGGAAGGAAAAGAAAGCUCCGAGAGGUUUUGGCUUACAUUAUUCACGCUGACCAAAAAAAACAAUUUUUAUAUUCUACAAGUGAAUUAAAUGCAUGUGUUUCUUUUUUAUUUUAUUUUAAUUACAACAUGAAUUUUUAUUACAAGCUUUCUU
Molecule: long non-coding RNA, 383 nt
Filed under: Vigna radiata
Lineage: Eukaryota; Viridiplantae; Streptophyta; Magnoliopsida; Fabales; Fabaceae
Description: long non-coding RNA (VRAD_LNC000821)
Source: RNAcentral